RNAcentral lists this long non-coding RNA (2846 nucleotides) under Taeniopygia guttata (zebra finch). RNAcentral's name for it is "lncRNA (ENSTGUG00000022662.1)". Lineage: Eukaryota; Metazoa; Chordata; Aves; Passeriformes; Estrildidae. The record is from RNAcentral.
GAAUCCUGACCAGGCUCAGGAUCCUCCUCGGGCAUGGCCCAGACCCAGGGCAGGAUCUCCCCUGGGUCUGUUUGUCCAUCCCACCGGGCAGGGGGAUGGAGAGGGGCUGGGAGGGAGCCCCUGGAUCCUGCUGGAUCCUUGGGAAGGGCUGGCACUGCCUGCUCCUGGCUCUGCCCGGUUCUCCAGGGUGGGAUGGAGCCACUGGAGGGUUGGGAACAGCCAGGCUGGAGGUGCAGGGGGGGCUCAGCAUCCCCCUGGGCAUGGACAGGGUGGGAAGAAAGGUCUGACCCUGGCAGGGAAUAACAGGGAAGCUGGGAAGGGGAGGUGGAUCCCAGUGGAUCCCAGUGGAUCGGAUUCCUGUAAUGGAAUUUAUUCCUGCUGGGGCAGGAGAGAGGAGAAGCCCUUGGGGCAGAUUUCCUGGGAUAACACAGCUUUGGGGUGCACAGCGAGGGGAGAGAGGAAAAUCAGGAUUGUCCCAGCCUGUAAACCAGUGGGAACAGCCCUGAGCUCUUCAGGAGCCUCACACCUGCUUUGCUUGGGGCACAAACCCCAAGGUUUGAUCCCCUUGGAAGUUCAGGAUUUCCCUGGCAGAGCCCCUGGAUGUGCUCCAGAGGCAGCCAGGCCUGUCCCAGCAGCAGCAUUUACUGAAAAAGGCAAUGCAGAGAUUCCAGCUGCUCCUGGAGCUCCGGGGGGAGCACCAGAGUGUCCAGAGGGGCACGGAGCUGCCUCUGUCCUGCUGGACACGGCUGGGACACGGCUGGGACACGGCUGGGACACGGCUGGGACACAGCUGGGACACGGCUGGGACACCAGGACCCGCUGCUGUGCAGCCCUGGACAGCCGGACCCCGGCCAGGCUCCCUCGCUGACGGGGCUGUGUGGGCACAGCCUGGCCCUGCUCCUGUCCCCACGCAGCUGCAGCCAGGUGGGUGCCCCUGAUCCGUCGGGAAUCGGCUCCCUCUGCUCUGGGAAGCAGCAGCUGGACACGAGUCCCCAGCAGGAAUGAGCCCUCCCCAUCCUCGAGUCCAUCUUGGGACAGCUCCAGGCCAGCUCCUGCCCUGAGCAGCCCCUCUGCCCCCACAGCUCCUUUUUUGGUGGGGAUUACCUGGGAUUUGGGCUUCCAAAGGGUCCCCCAGCACCGGCCUGGGCCUCUCCAGGGAUUGCUGGGGAUUCAUGGUCAGAGGAGCCACCUCUGCACCAGUGCCCGGAGCUGCCCACCCCUGCUUUGUGCCCUCCCGAGUGGCUUCCUGAGCUCGCCAGGAAAUCCAGAACUCCCUGAGAACCUCCUGCCCUUCCCUGGGCUGUAUCCUCCUCCCCAGCCAUCCCUGCUUUCCCCACAUCCCAUUCCUUCUCCUUCACCAUCUGUUUCUCCACGUCCAAUCCCUCCUCCCUCCCCAUCUCUGUUUCCCCCACACCCAAUUCCUCCUCCCUCACCAUCUCUGCUUUCCCCACACCCAAUUCCUCCUCCCUCCCCAUCUCUGCUUUCCCCGGGGCCAAUUCUCCCUCCCUCCCCAUCUCUCCAUGCCCGGCUCCAAUCCCUGCUCCAUCACCGGCUCUGCUUUUCCCUGCAGGAGCUCCGGGCUCCCCCAGGAGCCGAUCCCGAGGGGUUGGCCAUGGAAUAGGCGCUUUUCCAGGUGCCUGGGCACAGCGGGAGGCUGAAGUUGGUUGCCCCGGGGCACUGGAACUCGCCCUGCCCUGGAGCCCCUGGCCUCUGCCAUGAAUGAUGCAUCCACCAUGGAUUAUGAACUGCUCUCCCCAUCCCUGGUGGAGCACCCCGCCGGCGCCGCGGGCAUGGAUGCCGAGCAGAAAACUGUCUUCGCCUUCGUCAUCUUCCUCCUGGUGUUCUUGGUGAUGCUGAUGGUGCGCUGCUUCCGCAUCCUGCUGGACCCCUACAGCCGCAUGCCCGCCUCCUCCUGGACGGACCACAAGGAGGGCUUGGAGAGGGGCCAGUUCGACUACGCCCUGGUGUGAGGGCAGCCCGGGGCGAGCUCCGGGGGUCGCCCCCGCUGGCCCCGGCCCCGGCUCCCCCUUCCUCCGCGGUGCUGCCCCGCAGGGAUGCUCCGGGCAGGGGGGCGAGCAGGGGGGCUCUGGCCCCGGGGAGGUUUUCUAGGGGUUUCUCUCUUUUCUAAGCAACUUUUCAGUUCUCUUGGCAGCCCGCUGGGGGACGGGGGGGCUUGGGCAGGGCUCGGGCUCCACGCGGGCCCCGCUGCCCCUCGUGUCCCCGGGCACCAGCGGAGGGGCAGGAGGGGACGGGACGGGGCAUGGCGGGACCUGCCCUCGGCCCGCGGGGUCCCCGGGCUGGGCUCUGUGCCCGGUGCCAGCCCCGAGCUUUGACCCCCCAUGCCCCCCGUGCCCCCGGGAGUGCCCCCCGUGCUGCAGUGCGUGUGUGUGUGUCCUGUAGCUGAGCUGUGUCCGUCAGGGGUUCCUCGGCACCACCCCGAGCGCUGGCUUUGUUCCUCGUGUGUGCCACUCCCGAGCCCCCCAAAAAGGAGGGGUAGGUGGAAAACCCCCCCUCAGUGCAGCCCCCCCUUGGCCUCCAGCCCUGUCCCCUCAGCCCUGUCCCUGCCCAGCUGGUGACAAUGGAGCGAGGGGCAUCCCCACCCGGCUGGGGACACCAGGACGGAUCGAGGGUCCCCAAAACACCCGGGAGAGGCUCCUCAAGGAGCUGCCAGGGGUGUCCGGCCCUUCCCUGCCUCUCCCAGGGCUCUGGGAGCGGCCGAGGGGUGAGCAGGGGAACCGCGGGGCUGCCAAAGCCGUGGGAGGGUUUGUACGAAGGGAUUUGAGCCCGUGGGGGGAAAACCUCGCCCCGCUCCGUGGAAAUAAAGCCGCACCGUGCCGACCCCAGCC